Molecule: ribosomal RNA, 324 nt
Filed under: uncultured eukaryote
Lineage: Eukaryota
Description: partial 18S ribosomal RNA
Rfam family: Eukaryotic small subunit ribosomal RNA
Source: RNAcentral
CCCUUAGAUGUUCUGGGCCGCACGCGCGCUACACUGACGAAUGCAACGAGCUUAUAACCUUGGCCGAAAGGUCUGGGUAAUCUCCAAAUUUCGUCGUGAUGGGGAUAGAUUAUUGCAAUUAUUAAUCUUCAACGAGGAAUGCCUAGUAAGCGCAAGUCAUCAGCUUGCGUUGAUUACGUCCCUGCCCUUUGUACACACCGCCCGUCGCUCCUACCGAUUGAAUGGUCCGGUGAAUAAUUCGGACUGCAGCACUGCUUGGUCUCCAGGCUUUGCAGCGGAAAGUUUAGUGAACCUUAUCACUUAGAGGAAGGAGAAGUCGUAACA